RNAcentral lists this ribosomal RNA (498 nucleotides) under uncultured bacterium. RNAcentral's name for it is "partial 16S ribosomal RNA". It matches the Rfam family "Bacterial small subunit ribosomal RNA", at positions 30 to 523 of the family's 1533-position model. The record is from RNAcentral.
AUUGAACGCUGGCGGCAUGCCUUACACAUGCAAGUCGAACGGUAACAGGUCUUCGGAUGCUGACGAGUGGCGAACGGGUGAGUAAUACAUCGGAACGUGCCUAGUAGUGGGGGAUAACUACUCGAAAGAGUGGCUAAUACCGCAUGAGAUCUACGGAUGAAAGCAGGGGAUCGCAAGACCUUGUGCUACUAGAGCGGCCGAUGGCAGAUUAGGUAGUUGGUGGGAUAAAAGCUUACCAAGCCGACGAUCUGUAGCUGGUCAGAGAGGACGAUCAGCCACACUGGGGCUGAGACAGGGCCCAGGCUCCGACGGGAGGCACCAGUGGGGAAUUUUGGACAAUGGGCGCAAGCCUGUUCCAGCAAUGCCGCGUGCAGGAUGAAGGCCUUCGGGUUGUAAACUGCUUUCGUACGGAACGAAAAGCCCCGGGUUAAUACCCUGGGGUCAUGACGGUACCGUAAGAAUAAGCACCGGCUAACUACGUGCCAGCCGCCGCCGUAA